ACAGUUACUGAAGAUAGACAGUAGGGGGCGGAAGGGCCCACGCUUCUUUGAUAUUGGUGGCUUUGGUUUUUCAGUGACGGGGGACACUUUGACUUCAGUUCCUUUUUACGACUUUUGGUAGUGAAGAGAUAAAGUUCAUUACAAAACAUGCCAGGCUUAAGCAAUUUUCCAAAGGGAUUAACGAAUUGCAGUGGCCGCAGGCUAUGUAAAAAUUUUUAAAAGGUGGUGUCUCUCAUAUUCUUCAGCAUAACUUGGGUCACAGAAACCCAGGCAUAAAAAUUCAUUGUGAACUCAUAUUCUACCAUGGCCUGACACUGACUCAAUCACCACAAUUGCAAUCAAAAGACGGCUUUAGUUGGAACCUGGAACGUGCUAAUCCUGUCAGGCAGCCUGUGAUUCUGGAAGUGAAGGAACAAAA
This is a long non-coding RNA of Homo sapiens (human), 418 nucleotides long. Ensembl annotates it as mitotically associated long non coding RNA. Its record names the gene MANCR. Lineage: Eukaryota; Metazoa; Chordata; Mammalia; Primates; Hominidae. The record is from Ensembl.